AGAGAGAGAGAAUGUUACUCAGCUCCAAUAGCAAUUGAAUGCAACGUAGACACACUUUUCAUUUCUAAUAGAACAUUCCUUUUGUACAGCAGAGAAUAUGAUCUUAGCCAUACAAUUUAGUGUCAGCAAUAUGAGCUGCACACUUGGCAUGAGCUAGGACCUAUGAGACCUACACUCUAGAAUGAAAUCUAAGCCUUACACCUGUCAGCUAACAAACUUAAACCAGUAACUAAAUUUACAUUUCAACACCUCCUUUAUGCUCUGAUCGGUAACAAUGUAAGUGCCCAAGUUACUUCCAAUGAAGCUACCCAUCUU
RNAcentral lists this long non-coding RNA (315 nucleotides) under Prunus persica (peach). RNAcentral's name for it is "long non-coding RNA (PPER_LNC004820)". Lineage: Eukaryota; Viridiplantae; Streptophyta; Magnoliopsida; Rosales; Rosaceae. The record is from RNAcentral.